GGCGGCGGCCUACACAUGCAAGUCGAACGGUAACAGGGAGCAGCUUGCUGCUCUGCUGACGAGUGGCGGACGGGUGAGUAAUGUCUGGGAAACUGCCUGAUGGAGGGGGAUAACUACUGGAAACGGUAGCUAAUACCGCAUAACGUCUACGGACCAAAGUGGGGGACCUUCGGGCCUCAUGCCAUCAGAUGUGCCCAGAUGGGAUUAGCUAGUAGGUGGGGUAACGGCUCACCUAGGCGACGAUCCCUAGCUGGUCUGAGAGGAUGACCAGCCACACUGGAACUGAGACACGGUCCAGACUCCUACGGGAGGCAGCAGUGGGGAAUAUUGCACAAUGGGCGCAAGCCUGAUGCAGCCAUGCCGCGUGUAUGAAGAAGGCCUUCGGGUUGUAAAGUACUUUCAGCGGGGAGGAAGGUGUUGUGGUUAAUAACCACAGCAAUUGACGUUACCCG
RNAcentral lists this ribosomal RNA (452 nucleotides) under Cronobacter sakazakii. Its description in RNAcentral is "bacterial SSU rRNA". It matches the Rfam family "Bacterial small subunit ribosomal RNA", at positions 38 to 481 of the family's 1533-position model. Lineage: Bacteria; Pseudomonadati; Pseudomonadota; Gammaproteobacteria; Enterobacterales; Enterobacteriaceae. The record is from RNAcentral.